UUUUUUUUUCCUUUUUUGG
This 19-nucleotide small RNA is filed under the name Arabidopsis thaliana (thale cress). RNAcentral's name for it is "ATSL029150". Lineage: Eukaryota; Viridiplantae; Streptophyta; Magnoliopsida; Brassicales; Brassicaceae. The record is from RNAcentral.